GAAGAAGGCCUUCGGGUUGUAAAGUACUUUCAGUAGGGAGGAAGGUGGUUAAGUUAAUACCUUAAUCAUUUGACGUUACCUAAAGAAGAAGCACCGGCUAACGCCGUGCCAGCAGCCGCGGUAAUACGGAGGGUGCAAGCGUUAAUCGGAAUUACUGGGCGUAAAGCGCAUGCAGGUGGUUUGUUAAGUCAGAUGUGAAAGCCCU
RNAcentral lists this ribosomal RNA (205 nucleotides) under Vibrio cholerae. RNAcentral's name for it is "partial 16S ribosomal RNA". It matches the Rfam family "Bacterial small subunit ribosomal RNA", at positions 407 to 604 of the family's 1533-position model. Lineage: Bacteria; Pseudomonadati; Pseudomonadota; Gammaproteobacteria; Vibrionales; Vibrionaceae. The record is from RNAcentral.